GGGGGCGUUUUGGAUUCGACGGGGGUAUGAUGGGUGAGAGUAGCGAGUCCGGGCCCAUGACCCGGUCAACAACGUGGAACGGCAAAUAACUGCCAACGAUAAUUACGCAUUAGCUGCUUAAUUAAAGCAGCUCGUCCGCUUACCGCGAGCCUGUAGUGGUAAUUCCGGGCGUCGACUAAUCAGGCUACCGACCUCACGGUCUGCACUGCCAAAGAGGAAGGGAAUAACAACUGUGCUAGCGUAAACGGAUCCCGUCUCAAGGAGCCGUCUGCGCGAAUCUAAAGUUGAGACUACACUCGAAGAAGCUCUUGCUGGUCUGCUUUCGGACAGGGGUUCGACUCCCCUCGCCUCCACCA
This 356-nucleotide transfer-messenger RNA is filed under the name Bacillota bacterium. RNAcentral's name for it is "Firmicutes bacterium (anaerobic digester metagenome) transfer-messenger RNA". It matches the Rfam family "transfer-messenger RNA". From Rfam's summary of the family: Bacterial tmRNA, also known as 10Sa RNA or SsrA, is named for its dual tRNA and mRNA-like properties. RNAcentral also lists the same sequence under 1 other name. The record is from RNAcentral. Lineage: Bacteria; Bacillati; Bacillota.